ACCACUUCUACCAGGUCUUAUUUUUAACUACAGGACCUGAACAUGUGACUGACUGAAUGCAGACAGUUUUAAAUAUUACAGGAUCACAGAAGAAUGACGACAAUGGGUAACUGAAAUGAUGCUGAGGUUCCAUCUUAACCCAGAGUGGCUACCAUCAAGAAACAAACAACAUAUCUAAGCCCAAAUGCUUGUUAAGGACACA
Microtus oregoni (creeping vole) is the source of this 202-nucleotide long non-coding RNA. RefSeq lists it as uncharacterized. The transcript has 3 exons. Lineage: Eukaryota; Metazoa; Chordata; Mammalia; Rodentia; Cricetidae. The record is from RefSeq and is a predicted model, not a curated record.